GAUGAACGCUGGCGGCGUGCCUAAUACAUGCGAGUAGAACGCUGAAGGAGGAGCUUGCUCUUCUGGAUGAGUUGCGAACGGGUGAGUAACGCGUAGGUAACCUGCCUGGUAGCGGGGGAUAACUAUUGGAAACGAUAGCUAAUACCGCAUGACAACAGUUAUUGCAUGAUAACUGUUUAAAAGGGGCAACUGCUCCACUACCAGAUGGACCUGCGUUGUAUUAGCUAGUUGGUGAGGUAACGGCUCACCAAGGCGACGAUACAUAGCCGACCUGAGAGGGUGAUCGGCCACACUGGGACUGAGACACGGCCCAGACUCCUACGGGAGGCAGCAGUAGGGAAUCUUCGGCAAUGGACGGAAGUCUGACCGAGCAACGCCGCGUGAGUGAAGAAGGUUUUCGGAUCGUAAAGCUCUGUUGCAAGAGAAGAACGAGUGUGAGAGUGGAAAGUUCACACUGUGACGGUAUCUUACCAGAAAGGGACGGCUAACUACGUG
This 495-nucleotide ribosomal RNA is filed under the name uncultured bacterium. RNAcentral's name for it is "partial 16S ribosomal RNA". It matches the Rfam family "Bacterial small subunit ribosomal RNA", at positions 28 to 507 of the family's 1533-position model. The record is from RNAcentral.